AGAGUUUGAUCCUGGCUCAGGACGAACGCUGGCGGCGUGCCUCAUACAUGCAAGUCGAGCGGACCUUUCAGGGUCAGCGGCGGACGGGUGAGUAACACGUGGGCAAUCUGCCCGAUACUCUGGGAUAACGCUUGGAAACGAGUGCUAAUACCGGCAUCGGUCUUCCUGGUCACAUGGCCUACAAGGAAAAGACGCGUUCGCGUCUGUGUCUGAUGAGCCCGACGCGCAUUACCUACUGGGUGAGGUAACCGCCCACCGAAGCCACGAUGCGUAUCCCACCUGAGAGGGUGACCGGCCACACUGGGACUGAUACACCGGCCAUACUCCUACCGGAGGCAGCAGAAAGGAAUCUUCUACACUGAGCGAAAGCCUGAUGGAGCGACACCGCGUGAGUGAUGAAGGCCUUCGGGUUGUAAAACUCUGUCCUUCGUGACGAAUCCGAGUCUGAGGAAAUGAACACUCUCUGACGGUACCGGAGGAGGAAGCCCCGGCUAACUACUUGCCAGCAGCCGCGGCAAUAUCUAGGUCGCAAGCGUUGUCCCGAUUCGCUGGGCGUAUAGCGCGCGCACGCGGUGAUGUAACUCUGACGUGAAAACCAGAAACUCAACUUCGGGACUGCCUUGGAUACUGCGUC
Molecule: ribosomal RNA, 634 nt
Filed under: uncultured bacterium
Lineage: Bacteria
Description: bacterial SSU rRNA
Rfam family: Bacterial small subunit ribosomal RNA
Source: RNAcentral